GACGAACGCUGGCGGCGUGCUUAACACAUGCAAGUCGAACGGAAAGGCCCUGCUUUUGUGGGGGGCUCGAGUGGCGAACGGGUGAGUAACACGUGAGUAACCUGCCCUUUACUUUGGGAUAACUUCAGGAAACUGGGGCUAAUACCGGAUAGGAGCUCCUGCUGCAUGGUGGGGGUUGGAAAGUUUCGGCGGUUGGGGAUGGACUCGCGGCUUAUCAGCUUGUUGGUGGGGUAGUGGCUUACCAAGGCUUUGACGGGUAGCCGGCCUGAGAGGGUGACCGGCCACAUUGGGACUGAGAUACGGCCCAGACUCCUACGGGAGGCAGCAGUGGGGAAUAUUGCACAAUGGGCGGAAGCCUGAUGCAGCAACGCCGCGUGCGGGAUGACGGCCUUCGGGUUGUAAACCGCUUUCGCCUGUGACGAAGCGUGAGUGACGGUAAUGGGUAAAGAAGCACCGGCUAACUACGUG
RNAcentral lists this ribosomal RNA (468 nucleotides) under uncultured bacterium. Its description in RNAcentral is "partial 16S ribosomal RNA". It matches the Rfam family "Bacterial small subunit ribosomal RNA", at positions 28 to 507 of the family's 1533-position model. The record is from RNAcentral.